AUUUCCGCCCUCCUUACUCACGGAGGGUUUCAGCUGUUCCUUUUGGUUCGACUGACUCUCACCUGCUUGACGUUACCCAUGCCUUUUUGCGUACAGUUUGUUUUCCCAGCAGGGCAUUUUGCCCCUACGGGAUAUCAAUCCACCCAUGUAUUUGCAGUCAAUGUCUGAAAAUAAUAAUAAUUACAACUUUUAACAACGGAUCUCUUGGUUCUGGCAUCGAUGAAGAACGCAGCGAAAUGCGAUAAGUAGUGUGAAUUGCAGAAUUCAGUGAAUCAUCGAAUCUUUGAACGCACAUUGCGCCCCUUGGUAUUCCAUGGGGCAUGCCUGUUCGAGCGUCAUUUGUACCCUCAAGCUUUGCUUGGUGUUGGGUGUUUGUCCGCGUCUUGUACGCAGACUCGCCUUAAAUCAAUUGGCAGCCGGCAUGUUAGCCUGGAGCGCAGCACAUUUUGCGCACCUUGUUAGCGGUGUUGGCCCCCAUCAAGUCUAUAUAUUUGCUCUUGACCUCGGAUCAGGUAGGGAUACCCGCUGAACUUAAGCAUAUCAAAA
This 546-nucleotide ribosomal RNA is filed under the name fungal sp. TZ-2015b. RNAcentral describes it as "eukaryotic LSU rRNA". The stretch from base 185 to 338 matches the Rfam family "5.8S ribosomal RNA". Lineage: Eukaryota; Fungi. The record is from RNAcentral.